GAGGAAACCAGGCGCAGAGAGGAAAAAGGACCUGACCCAAGCAUUCUGCCUCCAAGAGUCUCUCUGUGAACCCAGCUCUCCAAGUGCUGAUUUCAUCUCUUUCCCGACAAAAGUUGGGAGCCAGGAGAAAAAUGGUUUGGCAGAAAAUCAACAUGCGGAGGGAGGAAGAGGCAACACGGAGAAAGCAGAGGCCAUGCAGGAUCUGAGAUGGGGUCUGAGCAGGAUGGCUGGAGCCAGGUGCUGAAGACCCCAAGAGGCAAGAAGCCCCCAUGGUCCAGGCAGAUCCUCCUGUGGCUUUGGGUGUGCCCUGGGUGAAGCCAACGCUCUGCGCAUGCUGCAAGCCUGAGACUGGAGCCCAGAGGACACAGAGCCUCAGUAGGUCUGUGGGGCCCUGAGUCCAGGAUCAAGUCCAAGUUGUGUAGGCUCACACCCUGUCCUUUGACUAUGAUGAUGAUCUUGACCCUGGUCAUCACAGCAAGCAGGAAGAACUGGCAAUUCAGCAUCUGUCUUCAUCGGGAGUAGCAUCAGGAGGGCAUGAGAGGCCUCCAGUGCCCUCUGCGACACCUCGGGUGGUGUCGUGAGAUUUACUCCCAUUAUCCAAAGGAGGAAACCGAGGCUCCGUGAAUUCCUCUGCUCUGCCUGAGCUUCACAGUGAACAGUGGCCGAGUCAGGAUUUGAGCCCAAGUCCACUGAAUCCUGGGAUCCCUGGACACUGGGUGUUGUGCCGUGUCCCUAGAAGUCUGUGACGUUACCCUGAACUCUCUCCCACAUGCUCUGUUGCAGUUCCCGGGUGACUUUGAGAAUAACUGGGAUCCAGUUGCUGGGAUACCCUGGAGAGGAGAGGUCAGCGUGGGAAGCCCGGCUCUCUGGUCCUGUGACGAGAGACUCGUGAUCAUUCACAUCUCCAGCCCCGACCCUCCUCCCUACUGCCCACGAGCCUGAUGUUAAAAAUAACAAAGAAUGAACUGGAGCUCUGCAGUCAAAAGGACGGCAUGUGUUUUUCAUUUUCUUCUUUCUCUUCUCCAAUUCUCUAGAAGCAGAUUAAAUAUGAAAAAGUACUUCCUGACUGAAGGGUUGGGAGUCACUGGGAGGGUGGUUCAACAGAGAGAU
Long non-coding RNA from Sciurus carolinensis (gray squirrel), 1110 nucleotides. RefSeq lists it as uncharacterized. NCBI's taxonomy places the organism in Eukaryota, Metazoa, Chordata, Mammalia, Rodentia, Sciuridae. The record is from RefSeq and is a predicted model, not a curated record. The transcript is spliced from 4 exons.